CAUCAUCUUCUCUGGCUCCAUUGUGCCCUUGAUCUUUAGAGCAAGCUCCCCGCUUUCUGAUUGGUUCUCCUUUUCUUCUUCCUUUGCUUUUUUUUUGUUUUCUUGCUUGAUUUUUCUCUCAACCUUCCUAUUCUAUUUGUAAGUUUACUUCUACCUCUUCUUUCUUUUAUGGCUUCUAAUGGCAGCAAGGCCAGGGCUAAAAGUUGUUGGGGUAGCUGAAAUCCAUAAUGAACUCCUCCCCGGGUUAGGUCUGAGGGGAAUCCUUAGACAAUUGCUGAAU
Molecule: long non-coding RNA, 280 nt
Filed under: Elaeis guineensis (African oil palm)
Lineage: Eukaryota; Viridiplantae; Streptophyta; Magnoliopsida; Arecales; Arecaceae
Description: long non-coding RNA (EGUI_LNC002508)
Source: RNAcentral